AACGAACGCUGGCGGCAGGCCUAACACAUGCAAGUCGAGCGAGGACUUCGGUUCUAGCGGCGGACGGGUGAGUAACGCGUGGGAAUGUGCCCUUCUCUACGGAAUAGCCCUGGGAAACUGGGAGUAAUACCGUAUACGCCCUAUUGGGGAAAGAUUUAUCGGAGAAGGAUCAGCCCGCGUUGGAUUAGGUAGUUGGUGGGGUAAUGGCCUACCAAGCCGACGAUCCAUAGCUGGUUUGAGAGGAUGAUCAGCCACACUGGGACUGAGACACGGCCCAGACUCCUACGGGAGGCAGCAGUGGGGAAUCUUAGACAAUGGGGGCAACCCUGAUCUAGCCAUGCCGCGUGAGUGAUGAAGGCCUUAGGGUUGUAAAGCUCUUUCAGCUGGGAAGAUAAUGACGGUACCAGGAGAAUAAGCUCCGGCUAACUCCGUG
Molecule: ribosomal RNA, 433 nt
Filed under: uncultured bacterium
Lineage: Bacteria
Description: partial 16S ribosomal RNA
Rfam family: Bacterial small subunit ribosomal RNA
Source: RNAcentral